Molecule: non-coding RNA, 6364 nt
Organism: Podarcis lilfordi (Lilford's wall lizard)
Lineage: Eukaryota; Metazoa; Chordata; Lepidosauria; Squamata; Lacertidae
Source: the annotation of a GenBank genome assembly
UAUACAGGCAGGCCAAGGGAAAUCCCUUUUCUGUUUCCAGCAGGACACACCUGGCAAUGGAUGUGACAUUCAGCACUGCCCAGGUUUCUUCCACUUGGAGGAGGAAAAGUGUGAAUGGCAGGAGGCAAUCCUCUGGCAGUGGGAUGCUAAGGAGGAAUAAUAAGGCAAGUUUGCUUGAUUGAAGGCUGCUGGUAUCCGUGAUUAGAAGCUGGCAGACAUCUCAUGAUGGACCUAACAGUAGCUUCUGGCACAAUGGGACACCGUGACGGAAACCAGAGCACACGGAAAGGCUGUUUACCUUCCUGCUACAGCGGUACCUGUUUAUCUACUUGUACUGGCGUGCUUUCAAACUGCUAGGUUGGCAGGAGCUGGGACAGAGCCACAGGAGCUCACCCCAUCAUGGGGAUUCGAACCGCCGAGCUUCUGGCAAUUUUGUUGGAAGAUCAGCAUCUCCACAUCUAAGUUCUUUAAUGACUUUUGGGCAGAUGCCAUAUGAACUCAAUGAUUGGUUAUUUUUUAAGUUUGUCAGCAAGGCCUAGAACUUUGCUGUUGUCAACAGUAUUUGCCUCAGUUCCUGAGAAAAUUACAGGCACAGGGAUCUGUCCUACAUCUUCCAAAACGAAGAUCCAAAGAAUUCACUCAGUGUCUCGGUCGUCUCCUUUUGCUCCUUUAACACACGUUUGACUCCCUUGCCAUCCCUGUAACUCAAGGGUGGGGAUCUGUGUUGUGCCUUUAACCUAGUGACUCUCCUCAUUUGGGCAACACCUCCAUUUUCUGAAAUAAACCUUCUUACCACUAACAGCUUUCCUGAUUCUGCUUGUUUAACUACACUUGAAUAUCUCUUGGCUUUCUGGACCAGGCAACCUUUCAGACAGAGGACUCCUUCAAGAAAGAAGAUGGCUUUCUUCUCUACAAUAAGACACAGGGGCAGCCUAUAGAGUACGGCUUCUUAUACUUAGCACAAUUUCUAGUAUUGUAUUGGGGGGGCUGUUUUCUAACUGGAAUUUACAGUGGUACCUCAGGUUAAGUACUUAAUUCGUUCCGGAGGUCUGCACUUAACCUGAAAUUGUUCUUAACCUGAAACACCACUUUAGCUAAUGGGGCCUCCUGCUGCUGCCGCGCCACCGGAGCCCGAUUUCUGUUCUCAUCCUGAAGCAAAGUUCUUAACCUGAGGUAAUAUUUCUGGGUUAGCGGAGUCUGUAACCUGAAGCAUAUGUAACCUGAAGUGUAUGUAACCUGAGGUACCACUGUAUUUAGACAUAAGUUUUGUUUAUGUGAGUUUUGUGGCGGUUGGGACUGGAAUCGUCACAUGGCAACAGUGGUUGUGAUUGUGGCACACUGUGCUGUUAUGCCUGAGUUCAUCACACACUAAGAUCACCUUCCAAGCCUUUGUCUUAACUUGUUUCGUUGAAAGAGGGAGCAAGAAAUAAGGUGCACAUAGUUAUUCCAUAUGAAAUUGUUUCACACACACACACACACACACACACACACACGCACACACCAAGUGCAUGCCCAUUCAUAGUUCUAUUUCGAACAAAAUAAGAAAGGAGCCAUUUCUUAACUCAGACAGAGAAGAUUUCUGCAAAUGUGUGAAGAAGGUUUUCAAGAAGGCACAGAAACCAGAUGGGGGCAUUAAAGCAGAACUUAUUCCAGACAGCAGGGGAAACAGAAACAAACUUAGGAAAACAGGGGCCUGCCACUCAUCAUUAUUUCAGUCAUGCUAGGAGAUCCAGCUCCUCCAAAACUGGUCUGCCAGAAGCAAAUGCGAGCUCGCACCCAUUUAAAUGAUUGAACAUAUAAAUUCGUUCAAGUUUUGUUUGCUGUUUUAAAUAUGAAGGGCUUAUUUUUAUGAUUUGUUUGGUAUUGUUUUCAGAGGCUACCAAGAGUAGAUCAGGGCAAAGAGACUUCAAGCUUAUAAGAUCUGCUUUGUUUUGUUUUGUUUUUUUCUAGAUCGCUGAGACCCUCCAAAUGGAGCCAGGUACAGAACAGGGGCUGAGGUGGGGGGAAGCGAGAUGCAAAAUGGAGGCUCAUGGGAAACAGCCAAUUACCUGCUACAGCGAAAUGAACUUCAUAUACAAGUAUAAAUCUCUAUAGAUAUUACUACAGGCCAUGGCUUUUAAUGGCAUAAUUUGAGUGUAGGAGGAAUAAGCCCUUUACCAUCUGUUUUUCUGGACGUGAGUCAUAUAGACUGAACCUAUCUAUCACACUGGAGCUCUUUGAGGCAGAAACCCAGAACUGGGACCACCAGAUUCAGCAACCUCCAAACUUGCAUUUUCUACAAAACCAUCCCUUUCCACACCAGGAACGCUUUGCAUUUCCAUGCCAUCUCAUCACUCUACCUGUAAGGUGAUACAAUACAGUGGUACCUUGGUUUGCAUACGACUUGGUUUGCAUACGUUUUGGAUUACAAGCACAUCAAACCCGGAAGUGCAUGUCCUGGUUUGCAAACGUUUCUUUUUAUUGCAACCCAUUAUUAUUAUUAUUAUUUUGGAUUACGAACAAAUUUUUUUAGAGGCCCCAUUAGCGAAAGCGCGCCUUGGGUUACAACCUGUUUUGAUUUACAAACGGACCUCCAGAACGGAUUAUGGUUGUAAACCAAGGUACCACUGUCCAAGAAAAUGAAUACCAAGUGAGGGGCAUGGUGGCUGCUCCUUUAAGCAAGGAGUGAACCUUGAAGGGGUGCUAUGACCCUGCAAAAAUAAUUUCCAUUCCUAUUGCUAUUUUGGAUCUCUCUGUGGUGUCCUACCUUUCUUCUUGAGCUUCUUGUCCAGAAUGUGGAAAGAUGUGUCUUACAGUAUUGACCUUUGAGAAUUAUAUAAAGGUAAAGGGACCCCUGACCAUUAGGUCCAGUCGUGACCGACUCUGGGGUUGCGGCGCUCAUCUCGCUUUAUUGGCCGAGGGAGCCGGUGUACAGGAUGACUAAGCUGCUUCUGGCGAACCAGAGCAGUGCACGGAAACACCGUUUACCUUCCCACUGGAGUGGUACCUAUUUAUCUACUUGCACUUUGACAUGCUUUCGAACUGCUAGGUUGGCAGGAGCAGGGACCGAGCAACGGGAGCUCACCCCGUCAUGGGGAUUCGAACCGGCGACCUUCUGAUCGGCAAGCCCCUAGGCUCUGUGGUUUAACCCACAGCACCUUGGUUUUAACUGCCCUGCACCUACCCCAUUGCAUCAACCACAACAGAGAGAUACUUGGAAAUUCAAUAUCCUUACUCCAAACCAACCCACCCAGGGAGAGGUAAGAGCUUAAGUCUGGAGAAAGGGCAAAAGCCACAUUAAAUGUCUGCAAGAAACAGUCAAGAUUAUUGAUCCAAACAGAGGAGAUACUCAAACAAAAGGCUGUUUAUGUGGGCAGUCUAGUACCCAGCAAUCUAUGACACACUUAACAAUAAAGAAAAUGGAUUAACCUGAAUACACUUCUCUGCGUGCUCCGUAGCACUUAGCUUUGUGCAGCUGGUCUGCUGAAAGCUUUAUUGUGCUAUGUGCAGAAUCUCAUUUAACAAUCCCGGUCCGAGAAGAACUUAAAAGGAACAUGGCUCCUGGUUCAUGCUAUGAUUUAGCAAUAUCAGCUGGGUGAAAUUCAUAUACCAAACCAGGAGAUUAGGAACAUCAGUGACCCCCACCAGUUUUAUUUCUGGUAACAGAAACCGAAGGUUUUUGAUAAUAUGGUUGUUAAUCUGUGUGUACUUUUCUCCUUGGUGAACACAUUCACAAAGCAUUGGCAACUGAUCAUCAAAGUAUGAUUGCCCCUCAUUGCCAUUGCUUGUUGCAUUUUUGCAACUAUAGGUGCAAUUACCCCUAUAAUUACAUGCAUUAUAAAUAAAGGUAUACUGAGCAGAAAUCAACAGCACAACCCUAUGUAUGUUAUGUCUAUUCAGAAGUAGGUUCAGUAGGACUUACUACCAGGUAAGUAUAUAUAGGAUUAAAUUUAGGGUAAAGAAACCCUGAAAAGAAGUUUUUACAAUAAGCACUUACUAUUCUUUUAAUACUAAUCAUUAACACUCUCAAAGUUCAUGCGCAAACUUAGCAUAAUGGACGGAACCGAAGUUUUGUAACAGAACUCACCACUCUUUUCAAUUAGCUGAUUAUUCCAUCCACUCUCUGUUGCAAGACUGUUAAUCAUACUGGAUGGCAGGACCUUGUAUAAAUUGAAGCAUAAUAUUGGCACAGUCAUCUCAUUCUUUAUUGCAGGUAAAGCUACCUCAAAUGCUUAUUACACAGAAAAGUAAUAAAUUGCCUCCCCCCCCCCCCCCGUAUGCGGCUAAAGCUGCCGAUGAGAUAGUUGUAAUCCAGAAAUUGCUAGUUCAUAAGACAUGCUCAGCCUAGGUGAAAAUUCAUCAUUUCUAAUCUUGCAGUAUUUCAGAACAACUCAGUUUCUGCAACCUCUGGGAAGUGUCAUCCUGAUUUUGAAAACACCUCAGAAAGAAUGGGCUCCUGUUUUUCGUUUUUCUUUUUCUUUUUAGGGAUUGUCAGAGGAAACAACAGCACAUUCCAGAAGCCCUUCUAGAAAGAACCAGCUUCCCUGUGCUAAAGGUAAAGAGACCCCUGACCAUUAGGUCCAGUCGUGGCCGACUCUGGGGUUGCAGUGCUCAUCUCGCUUCAUUGGCCGAGGGAGCCGGCGUACAGCUUCCAGGUCAUGUGGCCAGCAUGACUAAGCCGCUUCUGGCUUACCUUACCAUUUACCUUCCUGCCAUAGCGGUACCUAUUUAUCUACUUGCCAACUGGCAUGCUUUUGAACUGCUAGGUUGGCAGGAGCUGGGACAGAGCAAUGCGAGCUCAUUCCGUUGCAGGGAUUCGAACCACCAACCUUCUGAUCGGCAAGCCCAAGAAACUCAGCGGUUUAGACCGCAGUGCCACCCACGUCUCUGAGCACUAGAAAGUGGCUAAUGUAACACAAGGCUGCUGCAGGCCCUGACACCACAUCACAACAUAGUCCUGUCCCAAACAGAAGGAAACCAUUCAAGAUUGCACCACCAUAUUGCAGGCCUAUAAUGGACUUCAUGUUGUUCAGAGAAGUCUCUCAGUUGCCUACAAAAGAGAAGUCUCUCAGUUGCCUACAAAACCUCAGGCUUACCAAGUUAGUAUUUUAAUCUCUUCCAUAGAGGAUCUUGCUAAUGAAAUCAUGAUGUCACUAUCAUUCUCUAAAGAGCACCAAACCAUAGCUGUCAACCGUCCCUUAUUUGGCGGGAAACUCCCUUAUCCCAGUGCCGUGUCCCGCUGCUGUCCCUUAUUGAUGAUGUCCCUUAAAUUUCCCAGGUUUUAAAGGAAGCAGCUCCUCUCCCUCCCUGCCUGCCGGCCAGGGAGGAGGGAAGCUUCAGUUGUGUUGCUUGGCUGCGUUGCUCACCCAAUAAGGAGUCUAAGAACGACUGGGGGGUGGAGCUUGCAUGCCUUGUGCCGAUCAAAUCGGCCAUGUUGCCUGGGGACUCGCCUUUGCUCAGCGCUUCCCAGCGGAGAGGUGACGGUGGUUUUCCUUGCUGCGUCCCCUUUGCCGGGUUGCUGCGCUGUGGGAACCACCGCUUGAGGCUUCGUUUGGCUGCUGGCUGGGUUUUCUGCCUUUAGCUCGGAGGGGCUCAGAAGUUGAACAUACCUGUGCUGGGCAAAUCCCUUAUUUUGGCUGCUGAUCCCUUAUUUUCGAGGCUGCUGGUCCCUUAUUUUCAUAUCUGUAAGUUGACAGCUAUGCACCAAACUCUGUAUGGUGAAGUGUUGGAGGCCUUCCUGAUGGUUUCCCUGGGAAGAAAAAUGUGAUUUAUGAGGAAGCCACGUUGAACCUCGGCAAUCAAGAACACUCAGGACCAAUAGGCAGCUUUAUGACAUCAUUGCACACAUCAGCAGAAUUCCAGUGAUUUCAGCAUUCUUAGAGAAGACCUUGUCAAAUAUUGUUUUGCAGCAGGUCUUCCCAUCUGAGCGGAAGAUUGGCUGGUGUCCCAUACCAAGCAAGGCUGUGUCCAUGUUCCCAGGAUGCUGAAUGUAUGAAGCACAUUUUAUUACACUGUAGUCUGUAUAAACAGGUUAGGCAGCAUCUAAUCAAUCCAAUAUUAACAGAAUAAGCUGGAAUUGCCGAUUCUUUUGAUGUCAAGGUUCUUCUUGAGGAUAAGAUUGAGGAUGAGAUUGAUAUUGUUACACUGGCCGUAGCAAAAUUCCUCUCAGAGGCAGUAAAAAUCAGAAAUCAGUAUGUACAGGCCAAAGCUCCUCUGUAGGAAGGCCGAACUUACACCUUAUUUUUUUAAAAAAAUAUAUUAUUUACGCUUUUCAGAUUUCUACAUUUCACUAAUUUUACAAUCAUUUUAACAUUUCAAAACUUGACUUCCUUCUCCCUCUUUCUGUGGUUCCUUAAAUUUAUGUUUAAUACCUUCUGCAUAUCCA